RNAcentral lists this ribosomal RNA (2929 nucleotides) under Escherichia coli. RNAcentral's name for it is "23S ribosomal RNA". It matches the Rfam family "Bacterial large subunit ribosomal RNA". The record is from RNAcentral. Lineage: Bacteria; Pseudomonadati; Pseudomonadota; Gammaproteobacteria; Enterobacterales; Enterobacteriaceae.
GGGUUGUGAGGUUAAGCGACUAAGCGUACACGGUGGAUGCCCUGGCAGUCAGAGGCGAUGAAGGACGUGCUAAUCUGCGAUAAGCGUCGGUAAGGUGAUAUGAACCGUUAUAACCGGCGAUUUCCGAAUGGGGAAACCCAGUGUGUUUCGACACACUAUCAUUAACUGAAUCCAUAGGUUAAUGAGGCGAACCGGGGGAACUGAAACAUCUAAGUACCCCGAGGAAAAGAAAUCAACCGAGAUUCCCCCAGUAGCGGCGAGCGAACGGGGAGGAGCCCAGAGCCUGAAUCAGUGUGUGUGUUAGUGGAAGCGUCUGGAAAGGCGCGCGAUACAGGGUGACAGCCCCGUACACAAAAAUGCACAUAUUGUGAGCUCGAUGAGUAGGGCGGGACACGUGGUAUCCUGUCUGAAUAUGGGGGGACCAUCCUCCAAGGCUAAAUACUCCUGACUGACCGAUAGUGAACCAGUACCGUGAGGGAAAGGCGAAAAGAACCCCGGCGAGGGGAGUGAAAAAGAACCUGAAACCGUGUACGUACAAGCAGUGGGAGCCUCUUUUAUGGGGUGACUGCGUACCUUUUGUAUAAUGGGUCAGCGACUUAUAUUCUGUAGCAAGGUUAACCGAAUAGGGGAGCCGAAGGGAAACCGAGUCUUAACUGGGCGUUAAGUUGCAGGGUAUAGACCCGAAACCCGGUGAUCUAGCCAUGGGCAGGUUGAAGGUUGGGUAACACUAACUGGAGGACCGAACCGACUAAUGUUGAAAAAUUAGCGGAUGACUUGUGGCUGGGGGUGAAAGGCCAAUCAAACCGGGAGAUAGCUGGUUCUCCCCGAAAGCUAUUUAGGUAGCGCCUCGUGAACUCAUCUCCGGGGGUAGAGCACUGUUUCGGCAAGGGGGUCAUCCCGACUUACCAACCCGAUGCAAACUGCGAAUACCGGAGAAUGUUAUCACGGGAGACACACGGCGGGUGCUAACGUCCGUCGUGAAGAGGGAAACAACCCAGACCGCCAGCUAAGGUCCCAAAGUCAUGGUUAAGUGGGAAACGAUGUGGGAAGGCCCAGACAGCCAGGAUGUUGGCUUAGAAGCAGCCAUCAUUUAAAGAAAGCGUAAUAGCUCACUGGUCGAGUCGGCCUGCGCGGAAGAUGUAACGGGGCUAAACCAUGCACCGAAGCUGCGGCAGCGACACUAUGUGUUGUUGGGUAGGGGAGCGUUCUGUAAGCCUGUGAAGGUGUACUGUGAGGUAUGCUGGAGGUAUCAGAAGUGCGAAUGCUGACAUAAGUAACGAUAAAGCGGGUGAAAAGCCCGCUCGCCGGAAGACCAAGGGUUCCUGUCCAACGUUAAUCGGGGCAGGGUGAGUCGACCCCUAAGGCGAGGCCGAAAGGCGUAGUCGAUGGGAAACAGGUUAAUAUUCCUGUACUUGGUGUUACUGCGAAGGGGGGACGGAGAAGGCUAUGUUGGCCGGGCGACGGUUGUCCCGGUUUAAGCGUGUAGGCUGGUUUUCCAGGCAAAUCCGGAAAAUCAAGGCUGAGGCGUGAUGACGAGGCACUACGGUGCUGAAGCAACAAAUGCCCUGCUUCCAGGAAAAGCCUCUAAGCAUCAGGUAACAUCAAAUCGUACCCCAAACCGACACAGGUGGUCAGGUAGAGAAUACCAAGGCGCUUGAGAGAACUCGGGUGAAGGAACUAGGCAAAAUGGUGCCGUAACUUCGGGAGAAGGCACGCUGAUAUGUAGGUGAAGUCCCUCGCGGAUGGAGCUGAAAUCAGUCGAAGAUACCAGCUGGCUGCAACUGUUUAUUAAAAACACAGCACUGUGCAAACACGAAAGUGGACGUAUACGGUGUGACGCCUGCCCGGUGCCGGAAGGUUAAUUGAUGGGGUCAGCGCAAGCGAAGCUCUUGAUCGAAGCCCCGGUAAACGGCGGCCGUAACUAUAACGGUCCUAAGGUAGCGAAAUUCCUUGUCGGGUAAGUUCCGACCUGCACGAAUGGCGUAAUGAUGGCCAGGCUGUCUCCACCCGAGACUCAGUGAAAUUGAACUCGCUGUGAAGAUGCAGUGUACCCGCGGCAAGACGGAAAGACCCCGUGAACCUUUACUAUAGCUUGACACUGAACAUUGAGCCUUGAUGUGUAGGAUAGGUGGGAGGCUUAGAAGUGUGGACGCCAGUCUGCAUGGAGCCGACCUUGAAAUACCACCCUUUAAUGUUUGAUGUUCUAACGUUGACCCGUGAUCCGGGUUGCGGACAGUGUCUGGUGGGUAGUUUGACUGGGGCGGUCUCCUCCUAAAGAGUAACGGAGGAGCACGAAGGUUGGCUAAUCCUGGUCGGACAUCAGGAGGUUAGUGCAAUGGCAUAAGCCAGCUUGACUGCGAGCGUGACGGCGCGAGCAGGUGCGAAAGCAGGUCAUAGUGAUCCGGUGGUUCUGAAUGGAAGGGCCAUCGCUCAACGGAUAAAAGGUACUCCGGGGAUAACAGGCUGAUACCGCCCAAGAGUUCAUAUCGACGGCGGUGUUUGGCACCUCGAUGUCGGCUCAUCACAUCCUGGGGCUGAAGUAGGUCCCAAGGGUAUGGCUGUUCGCCAUUUAAAGUGGUACGCGAGCUGGGUUUAGAACGUCGUGAGACAGUUCGGUCCCUAUCUGCCGUGGGCGCUGGAGAACUGAGGGGGGCUGCUCCUAGUACGAGAGGACCGGAGUGGACGCAUCACUGGUGUUCGGGUUGUCAUGCCAAUGGCACUGCCCGGUAGCUAAAUGCGGAAGAGAUAAGUGCUGAAAGCAUCUAAGCACGAAACUUGCCCCGAGAUGAGUUCUCCCUGACCCUUUAAGGGUCCUGAAGGAACGUUGAAGACGACGACGUUGAUAGGCCGGGUGUGUAAGCGCAGCGAUGCGUUGAGCUAACCGGUACUAAUGAACCGUGAGGCUUAACCUUACAACGCCGAAGCUGUU